GUGAAGAACGUAGCGAAAUGCGAUAAGUAAUGUGAAUUGCAGAAUUCAGUGAAUCAUCGAGUCUUUGAACGCACAUUGCGCCCCCUGGUAUUCCGGGGGGCAUGCCUGUCCGAGCGUCAUUGCUGCCCUCAAGCACGGCUUGUGUGUUGGGCCUCCGUCCUCCUCCCGGGGGACGGGCCCGAAAGGCAGCGGCGGCACCGCGUCCGGUCCUCGAGCGUAUGGGGCUUCGUCACCCGCUCUUGUAGGCCCGGCCGGCGCUUGCCGACACAUCAAUCUUUUUUCCAGGUUGACCUCGGAUCAGGUAGGGAUACCCGCUGAACUUAAGCAUAUCAAUAAGCGGAGGA
This 344-nucleotide unclassified non-coding RNA is filed under the name soil metagenome. Its description in RNAcentral is "partial contains 5.8S ribosomal RNA, internal transcribed spacer 2, and large subunit ribosomal RNA". The stretch from base 2 to 119 matches the Rfam family "5.8S ribosomal RNA", at positions 37 to 154 of the family's 154-position model. The record is from RNAcentral.